ACUGCUUUGCAAAGCCAUUGCCAAUGGGUUUCACCCUACCACACUCACAAGGUUAGUCUGUUCCGGGUCUUAAGGCAUACUGGAAGCCCCCAAGACUAAGACCUCCUGUUACUCUUCACCACAUGGUUCAAUCCUCUCUACUUGAGAAUGAAAGACCAUUGAAGUUCAGGAUCACCCCAAGACUGAGCUACCUGCAAUCAUUCUAAACAUACUUGAAUCUCACCAAGAGAUUCCACAUUUAAACUUACUUAUACCACUUG
This 260-nucleotide long non-coding RNA is filed under the name Vigna radiata. Its description in RNAcentral is "long non-coding RNA (VRAD_LNC006058)". The record is from RNAcentral. Lineage: Eukaryota; Viridiplantae; Streptophyta; Magnoliopsida; Fabales; Fabaceae.